UUAUAUUAUAUACAUCUUUUAUC
This 23-nucleotide small nuclear RNA is filed under the name Arabidopsis thaliana (thale cress). RNAcentral describes it as "snRNA_17033". Lineage: Eukaryota; Viridiplantae; Streptophyta; Magnoliopsida; Brassicales; Brassicaceae. The record is from RNAcentral.